This 305-nucleotide ribosomal RNA is filed under the name uncultured bacterium. RNAcentral's name for it is "bacterial SSU rRNA". It matches the Rfam family "Bacterial small subunit ribosomal RNA", at positions 496 to 805 of the family's 1533-position model. The record is from RNAcentral.
GCCUACGGGGUGCAGCAGCCGCGGUAAUACGUAGGUGGCAAGCGUUAUCCGGAUUUACUGGGUGUAAAGGGCGUGUAGGCGGGGACGCAAGUCAGAUGUGAAAACCACGGGCUCAACCUGUGGCCUGCAUUUGAAACUGUGUUUCUUGAGUACUGGAGAGGCAGACGGAAUUCCUAGUGUAGCGGUGAAAUUCGUAGAUAUUAGGAGGAACACCAGUGGCGAAGGCGGUCUGCUGGACAGCAACUGACGCUGAGGCGCGAAAGCGUGGGGAGCAAACAGGAUUAGAAACCCCGUAGUCCCACAAA